Molecule: ribosomal RNA, 516 nt
Filed under: Salmonella enterica subsp. enterica serovar Brandenburg
Lineage: Bacteria; Pseudomonadati; Pseudomonadota; Gammaproteobacteria; Enterobacterales; Enterobacteriaceae
Description: bacterial SSU rRNA
Rfam family: Bacterial small subunit ribosomal RNA
Source: RNAcentral
UUCAGAGAUGAGAAUGUGCCUUCGGGAACCGUGAGACAGGUGCUGCAUGGCUGUCGUCAGCUCGUGUUGUGAAAUGUUGGGUUAAGUCCCGCAACGAGCGCAACCCUUAUCCUUUGUUGCCAGCGAUUAGGUCGGGAACUCAAAGGAGACUGCCAGUGAUAAACUGGAGGAAGGUGGGGAUGACGUCAAGUCAUCAUGGCCCUUACGACCAGGGCUACACACGUGCUACAAUGGCGCAUACAAAGAGAAGCGACCUCGCGAGAGCAAGCGGACCUCAUAAAGUGCGUCGUAGUCCGGAUUGGAGUCUGCAACUCGACUCCAUGAAGUCGGAAUCGCUAGUAAUCGUGGAUCAGAAUGCCACGGUGAAUACGUUCCCGGGCCUUGUACACACCGCCCGUCACACCAUGGGAGUGGGUUGCAAAAGAAGUAGGUAGCUUAACCUUCGGGAGGGCGCUUACCACUUUGUGAUUCAUGACUGGGGUGAAGUCGUAACAAGGUAACCGUAGGGGAACCUGC